RNAcentral lists this ribosomal RNA (468 nucleotides) under uncultured bacterium. Its description in RNAcentral is "partial 16S ribosomal RNA". It matches the Rfam family "Bacterial small subunit ribosomal RNA", at positions 28 to 507 of the family's 1533-position model. The record is from RNAcentral.
GAUGAACGCUGGCGGCGUGCUUAACACAUGCAAGUCGAACGGAAAGGCCGAAGCUUGCUUCGGUACUCGAGUGGCGAACGGGUGAGUAACACGUGGGUGAUCUGCCCUGUACUUCGGGAUAAGCUUGGGAAACUGGGUCUAAUACCGGAUAUGACGAUCUCUUGGAUGGGGUUGUGGAAAGCUUUUGCGGUAUGGGAUGAGCUCGCGGCCUAUCAGCUUGUUGGUGGGGUAAUGGCCUACCAAGGCGUCGACGGGUAGCCGGCCUGAGAGGGUGUACGGCCACAUUGGGACUGAGAUACGGCCCAGACUCCGACGGGAGGCAGUAGUGGGGAAUAUUGCACAAUGGGCGCAAGCCUGAUGCAGCGACGCCGCGUGGGGGAUGAAGGCCUUCGGGUUGUAAACUCCUUUCGCAAUCGAAGAAGCCUUUUGGUGACGGUAGGUUGAGAAGAAGCACCGGCUAACUACGUG